RNAcentral lists this microRNA precursor (82 nucleotides) under Mayetiola destructor (Hessian fly). RNAcentral describes it as "microRNA mir-184". It matches the Rfam family "mir-184 microRNA precursor family". Lineage: Eukaryota; Metazoa; Arthropoda; Insecta; Diptera; Cecidomyiidae. The record is from RNAcentral.
GCCCGCUCGUACCCUUAUCAUUCUAUCGCCCCGUGUGAAUUUUGAGCAACUGGACGGAGAACUGAUAAGGGCUCGUGUCGCC